CGCUCCUAUUGGUCCGCAGCUGCUCCGGAUCCCGGAAUCAAAUCUAAACUACAGACGUGACGCUCAGCUGGAGCCGUGCAGGUAACAGUGUAUAAUAACAUGUAAACAUUCUAUUAUAGUAUACUCACUGUGUAUAAUAACAUGUAAACAUUCUAUUAUAGUAUACUCACUGUGUAUAAUAACAUGUAAACAUUCUAUUAUAGUAUACUCACUGUGUAUAAUAACAUGUAAACAUUCUAUUAUAGUAUACUCACUGUGUAUAAUAACAUGUAAACAUUCUAUUAUAGUAUACUCACUGUGUGUAAUAACAUGUAAACAUUCUAUUAUAGUAUACUCACUGUGUGUAAUAACAUGUAAACAUUCUAUUAUAGUAUACUCACUGUGUGUAAUAACAUGUAAACAUUCUAUUAUAGUAUACUCACUGUGUGUAAUAACAUGUAAACAUUCUAUUAUAGUAUACUCACUGUGUGUAAUAACAUGUAAACAUUCUAUUAUAGUAUACUCACUGUGUGUAAUAACAUGUAAACAUUCUAUUAUAGUAUACUCACUGUGUGUAAUAACAUGUAAACAUUCUAUUAUAGUAUACUCACUGUGUGUAAUAACAUGUAAACAUUCUAUUAUAGUAUACUCACUGUGUGUAAUAACAUGUAAACAUUCUAUUAUAGUAUACUCACAGUGUGUAAUAACAUGCAAACAUUCUAUUAUAGUAUACUCACAGUGUGUAAUAACAUGCAAACAUUCUAUUAUAGUAUACUCACUGUGUGUAAUAACAUGCAAACAUUCUAUUAUAGUAUACUCACUGUGUGUAAUAACAUGUAAACAUUCUAUUAUAUUAUACUCACUGUGUGUAAUAACAUGUAAACAUUCUAUUAUAUUGUACUCACAGUGUAUAAUAACAUGUAAACAUUCUAUUAUAUUGUACUCACAGUGUAUAAUAACAUGUAAACAUUCUAUUAUAUUGUACUCACAGUGUAUAAUAACAUGUAAACAUUCUAUUAUAUUAUACUCACUGUGUAUAAUAACAUGUAAACAUUCUAUUAUAUUAUACUCACUGUGUAUAAUAACAUGUAAACAUUCUAUUAUAUUAUACUCACUGUGUAUAAUAACAUGUAAACAUUCUAUUAUAUUAUACUCACAGUGUAUAAUAACAUGUAAACAUUAUAUUAUACUUACUGUGUAUAAUAACAUGUAAACAUUAUAUUAUACUCACUGUGUAUAAUAACAUGUAAACAUUAUGUUAUAUUGUACUCACAGUGUAUAAUAACAUGUAAAUAUUAUAUUAUACUCACAGUGUAUAAUAACAUGUAAACAAUAUAUUAUACUCAGUGUAUAAUAACAUGUAAACAUUAUAUUAUAUUAUACUCACUGUGUACAAUAACGUGUGUGUGUGUGUGUGUAUAUAUAUAUAUAUAUAUAUAUAUAUAUAAAUAAUAUUAUACCAAAUACAAUGUACUCACUGUGUACAAUAACAUGUAUAUAUAUUAUACCAUAAACAAUGUACUCACUGUGUACAAUAACAUGUGUAUAUAUAUUAUACCAUAAACAAUGUACUCACCGUGUACAAUAACGUGUGUGUAUAUAUAUUAUACCAUAUACAAUGUACUCACUGUGUACAAUAACAUGUAUAAUGUAUUUACUGCAAUACAAUAAGAACAUUGAGCGCAUUUACUUUAUACUAUGACAUGUACAAUUUGUAAAUUAUACAAUGCCAUGUUUGUAGUGUACUCACUCUAUACAAUUUAUAUACAAUUUAUUUACUGAAUGCUACAAAAUAUGUAGAAUUUAUAUACUGUAUGCACUAUACUGUAUAUACUGUAUGACGUGCACACACUGUAUACAAUAAAAAGUACGGAGUGUACUCACGGUAUAUAAUAACAUGUAUGGAGAGUACGCGCUGUAUACAAUAAGUGUUGAAUACAUUUGCUGUAUAUAGUAAUAUGUAUGCAGCGUACUUCCAUUUUAUCUGUGAGAAGUCAUAUAUUAGAAUUGAAACCCAAAUGACAAAAUUUAGGUUAAAAAAGCCAAGGAGGGAUUAUAGAUAACUUAAAAUUUUUUCCAAAUCUGACUUCACCCGAAUGCUGUCAGUAGGAUUUAUUGAGCUGAAAUACUGAUGUUGGUAAAUGAACAACUGAAAUUGUGAACGGUCAGAGAUUUAAAAUAAAAAAAAAUAAAAAAAAUUCCAGGAGUUUAAUCUUUAAACACCAAAUUAUAGGAAAUCAUUUUACAAAGUUUAGGCAAGAAAUGGUUGAUUUAUAAACAUUCUCCAACCCUACCAUAAUCCCACCUUGGUUAUUUGUGCCUCAGUUUUCUAAUUUUGAAUUCCAUGCAAUACAAUUUGAUGUUUAGCUAAUAAACCAUAUCUUUCAGUAAAGCAUUAAAAGGACACUCUACACCAUAACACCUUCAGUAUUCCCCAGUGGGCGAUAACAAGUGUCCCAUGGCACCUUCCCAGGGGUAACUGUCAAAAAGUUUGACAUUUACCUGCUAGUGUUGGGCACCCAUGGACCUUCUGAUAUGCACAACCAAUCAGCACGCCACUAAAGCAGUGUGCUAAUACAUAAGUAUGAGCAACUGAUUUAGCAUAGCCGUGUAGCAUUGAAGGACUGAGGGCACCCAACAGCCAGGUGGAUGCCAAACUGUUUGUAAAUGGUUCGGUUGCUUACCUAAAGUGUGCUCUUUAAGUAUCUUUAACAUUAAAAAGAAAAAAAAAUCAAACUUUUGUGUUUUUAUAUAUUUUAGGAAUCUGAAGGAGAUGGAAAACUUGGGAGAGGAAGAUUUCAGUCUAUCAAUGUAAGUCUUUAAAUUGAACAGUGCUCCAAAUAUUCCAAGUCCUAGCAUUCAGUUUAUAUUUAAAAUCCACCUCAUUUAGUUACCACAUUCUAUUGGAAGGGAUACCUGGGUCCCUGAGGAGCAGUCUUCCCUUGCUUCUUGGUGAAGUUAUGGUACAGGACAUAGAUGUAUGUGACAGUGCUGCCUCUUGUAUUAUACCCAUUACACAGUACCACAAAGGAACCAGAGAGAGGGGUGUCUAGUGAUCCUACCACACACUGUAUCUGCAUCUGGAGGAAAAUGCCCUCUCAUGGCUGUAGAAAUCCAAGUCUACUGUUCUAGUUUCCAUUUGCUCAUAAUGAUUAGAAAUUUGGAGCCCAGAGAUGAAUGUUUAUACAUUUUACAAACUAUUUAAAAUGCUUGUAAAGGGACUAAGUAUUAGUAAUAGGACAGCAUAAAUCAGGACACCCACCUCUGGUACUCCGUUCCGAGGUGUUCGCCAACCUCACACAAAUCCAAUAACAGUAAAGGGAAACAGCACCAAUGAGACAGUGUAAAAUUCAAAACUUUAUUCUGGCAUAUUUUUCAAUAGAUUUCUGCUUUGAUUAUGUCAUGAUUAACCUCUUCUUUUCCAAGCACUUUGCCAAAAAAAAUAAAAAACACGCUAUAGUCCGAAUAUUUAGGGUGUCCUGGAAAGAAAUGUUCAAAUUUUAUAUUUUUGUUUUAGUAUGCUUAGACAGUGCAUUUUUUCAUGGAAACGCAAACAAAAAUUGCUAAGCUGAAACACGGUGUUAUAAUAUUACAAUAUACGUUGUCACUUUGCCUAUACUGUAUCACCCUCAUUGUAGCCACAUUGCCUCUUAGGACACACAAUAAUACGUGCAAAACCAUAUACCUAUUGAUACAUGCACACAUAUACACACUCAUGCGCAAACAUAGAGAUACCAGAAAGACAAACACAGGAUACUCAGUGCCACACACGGAUCUACAUUUGCAGUAUUAUAUAUAUAUACAUAUGCAUACCCACACAUGCACACUCACACUCACUACUCUUCCCUGCCAACCACCCUCCGAUUACCUUCUUUUCUGGCAGUGAGGGUGGCUGUUAUGUCCAGCUUUUCCAGCAGGCUUUCACAUUGUGAUUCAACGAGAGCAGUAGAGAAUGUGAUGUCAUGUGACAUCCUCUCGCCGCUCUCCGUGAAUACAGCUGCUGCUAAUUAUUUUACUUAUAUAAAAACAUUUGAAAAAUGGUUAUCACCUGCACUGGCCAGAUGUUGAUUACAUUACAUGAAAGCUUCAGUGACAUAGCCGGUUAUCUGCCCAGUAGCAAAGCACUCCACGACAAGACGUUGUGUGCACAAUUAUAAUGUAUCUGUAGUAUCUUCUCGUGUGUUGGUAGGAGAAUUUAUAGAUACAGUUAUUGGGUUAAAAUGGGUGCACUGUCAUGUUUUUUCAUCACAGACCACCUUUAAAAAAACUAUGUGGUAAAAAGGGCCACCCAAAAAAGGUAACUACUUGUCUUGAGAGUUCCCCUUGGUGCUGUUGUUAGUUGUUUUGUCUACAAGCAAACCUGACACACACCCAGACAGCAGGUGUUUAAAGGAUAAGUAGUGUAACUCCCAGUUCCGUUCAUCAGAUUGGAUGAGCAGUUUUGAUGUGUAUACAGAUAGCAACCAUAUCAUGACUUCUAUCAGUUUACCCUGUAGCAUGGUUGCAUAGUUAUCUAGGCUGAAAAAAGACUUGCGUUCGUUAAGUUCAGCCCUAACAUAUCUGUAUCUGUUAAUCCAUUAUUAUUGCUGAAAACCCCAAUUUGAAGUGAUUUGAAGUGAUUUCCAAGUUUGCCACAACUUCAAGGGAAAAAAUCCAGUCCGAUUUCUCUUUGGAUCAACAAGAUGUUAACUAACCUAUUAACUAUUAUAUCUUUAAAUAUUUAGUUUUUCAAAAAAAAACAUCCAGACCAUUGAUUUAAAAAGUGUACAGAAUCUGACAAGCAAGCUUUUCAUACACAGAAAUCCACAUCUUUAAAGUUUAGUGGCCCAGGUUGUGCUAAGGUCCAUGGCUCAGCUGUCCUAGGUGAGAGAAAGCUCAGACCAAGUUGUACAUGCGGGGUGCAUACAGUGUAUGCUAAAUUAUGUUAAAAUAGAUGUAGAACUCUCAUUCGGAUCUGGCUGAUUGAAAGGAGUCAGAAGUGGCUUUAACCCAGUAAAAAAAGCAACUGUCUCGGAUCUGGCAGUGUUUCCUGAUUAAACGCUGCAUAGACAGUUAUUGCAUUAUCACCACUUAAACAAGCAGAAGUGCUUAUAAUUCUAAGAGUAUACCUUUUUAAGUACAUGGUUGAUAUCUGUCCAAAAUGGUUAUAUAAAUCUGCUUCACAAUUAUGAGUAUUAUAAGUCACGUUUUCACAAAUUAAAUACAUAAUACAGUAUUGUAUAGUACUGUGUAGUAAUAUAGGUAUUAUUCUAGCCUAGAAUAAUUAUUCUAUUUCUUUUAUUUCAGAUCUUCCCCUAAAGAUGCAGAAUUUGACUCUGUGGUUGGACAUUUGGAAGAGAUUAUAAUGGGUAAAUCUAAUUUAAAUUAACAUGUUUCUUUAGUGUGGCUACUUCCAGAAGUCGCAAUUAUGUGUUUGGAAUGUGGGUUUGUAUAGAAUGUAAUGAUUGGACUGGAAUCAGAAUUUGUAAUGAGAGUGCUGUCUUUAUCUAGAACUAUACAAACUGACAGGUAACCAAACAAAUCAGGAGCUCAGGAAGACCUCUAAUCAUAUCAAUAAAUAUUAUUCAGCAAUCCACCAAAAUAAAACUGGCAAUAUUUCACACUGAUUGCUUAAUUUAUUUAUAAAAGUGCCUAUUUUUAAAAAGAGGUGCCAUUAAAAUGGAAUGAUCCUUACCUAUAGAGCACUUAAGCAAGCUGAAGUGCUUUAUGGGUGUGGAGUAGUGCGUUAGUGCUUCUCAUUGAGAAGCAUUCUGUUUGCCAAGAUCAGUAGUGCUGGUCUCCUGGCUAGCAGAGUGGAGCUGCAGCAGGUGCCUUCUCAUCAUUGGAUUAGGGUAAGGUAACUUUUUAUUUCAGGGGAAAAAAGGGAACCCAGUAAUCUAAACUGUGAAUACUGUCAAAUAUUGUGAUAAUGCUGGAGUGUUACUUUAAUAAUAUAUUAUAUAGCUUUGUAACGUUGGUGUUCUUUUAAGUGCUUGGUACUGGAGGAGUUAAAGGAACACUCUAAGCACCAUAACCACUGAAGCCUGCAGUAGUUAUUAUGGUGCUACUGGUAGACUAUGAAAAAUUGAUGUCCUGGUGGUAAACUGCAUGAAAAUAGUAAGAGGACUUUAAUUGGCACUUUACAGAAGGAUAUCACAAAAGAAAACUACCCACACCUCUUAACGCAUUUUGGACUAUUCAGUCCUUAAUCAUAAUAAUAUUGGCAUGGGAUAAUCUGCUGUGAUAUAUUUUCUAAGCAGUGGUGGGCUGCAAAAGAAGUUACUGGAAUGAGCUAAGCUAGUAUUGCACAACCUUGGCUCUUCAGCUCUUUCGUAGAGAAUUGCGGGAGUCAAAAGGCUGAAUUUAAAAAUAAAUAAAUAGAUUUUUUACUAAUAGCCCUGUAGAGAUAUAAUCUCUAGCUUCCUUUUGAAGCACUUGAUAAAACAGCUUGGAGCCCCAUCUGCAUAUUAGGAUGCCACACUGUCUUGAGUUCUGUGUGGCACAUGUACCCGGUCAGGUGACCUUUUAGAGGGGCAGUGAAUAGAUAUGCAGAUACCAUGGGGAUACAAUAUCACAAUGAUAUUUACCAAGAAAAGGACUUUGUAGGAAAUACCCAGUCUGCACUGCUUAUUUAUAGCUGGUACGGAGGGAGCUGGAUGGGGUGACGGAGUUGCAGGGAGUCCACAGGAGGAAAAGAUGGAGACCGAUAUGGAUGGGAGAUGGCUGAGUUGGUAUAAAGGAAUACAUGGGAGCUGGCAGGAAGCCAUGGUUGAGGGCUAACCAUUUCUCAUCCACCUAGAACCUCCACAUGUGUGCGGAUGCUUUCACAUAGUUUUGCUAGUGCCACGCAAUUCUAAUCCCUAAAAAAAUAUUCUGCCUGUUUUUUCCAAACCACUAGAACCCAUCAGUCUUUCCGUAAAUUGGCAACGUCGCUGUGCUAUGAAUAGACCCCUUUAAAUCCAAAUUACAGCUUUAGCCUUCAUUGGUCGUGCAAUCUCCUAUAUGUCUCGUUGAUUCUAUUGCAACUGAUCAUACAGUGCGCUCUUAGAUGUAAUGCUGUAAACAAUAGCCGGCCCAGAAACACAGCGUUUGUUUUUUCCCUUUCUUUUUGUUUUUUUGGCUCCUUCCAGCUGGUAAAUUUUGAUACUUAUCCCAAAUGUAACUGCACAUUGCGUUCACACACAUUCUUUCCGCGGUGACAGGUGUCUGGCUCACAGCACGUCCUGGCUAAAUAAUUCCAGUAUUGUGGCAAGAUCCUUCUUUGUUCUUUUGCAGCUGGCAUGCUGUAAACUGCUUAUUAUUCUGCUUUAUUUCUAGUGUCAACGUAUUCCCUAGUCCUGCAAUAUUAAUUUACUGCUGAAAGAAAACACAUAUUUCCUUUAUUGUUUGAUACAAUGGCACAAAAGCUAAGCAAACAAAAUGGAAUUUGUGAGAGUAUAUUUUCCAACACACCUGACGUGUUUCAGGGACAUAUUCUUAUUUUAAAAUCUUACCAGUUUCUUAUAAACCUAUUAUUUAGGCACUUUUUGCACAGUCACUAUUGUAAGACGUGCUGCAACUCUAAAUCCCUUCAUUCUCCUGUGCUUGUGGGGAGUCUUGCUUUCAAUAUAUAUAAUAUUUUUUAGGUUCUAUCAAAGUCUGAAAACAUUUACACCAGGGGUGCCCAAAAAGGAGAUCCCCAGAUGUUUAAAGGAUCACUAUAGGGUCAGGAAUACAGGUUUGCCAAGUGCCAAGCUCACCAUUUAGGUGGCUAGUCCCCUCUUAGCCCCUCUAUAAAAGUUUAAAACUCACCUUAUUUCCAGUGCCGUGCGGCUCCGCCCCUUUGUGACAUCAUCAAAAUGGACGAUUUUUAGCCAAUCCAAUGCUUUCGGCUAAAAUUGGCACGGGGAAAUCAAUGCAUCUCUGUGAGGAAAAUUCAGCGUCUCCGUGCAGAGCGUGGGGACGCUGAACGGCAGGGCUACUUACUGUGCAGCCCUGAGCCAUGAAGCCCCUCCAUUGGCCAUCUAAGUAGUGGCCACUUGGAGGUGACCCUAGGGGCUAUGUAAACACUGCCUUUUCUCUGAAAAGGCAGUGUUUGCAUGAAAAUGCCUGAAGGGAGCUAUUAUACUCACCAGAACAAAUACAUUAAGCCGUGGUUGUUCUGGUGACCAUAGUGUCCCUUUAAUAACUACAGCUUCCAUGAUGCUUUGCAAAGCAUCAUUGGAGUUGUAGUUCUUCAACAUUUGGGGAUCUACUUUUUUGGGCACCCAUGAUUUAGAUGUACAAUAAUCUUUUACACAGGUAACGAGCUGAGAUUAGGAGCACUGCCUUUAAGAGAGUGCUCCUAAUCUCAGCUCGUUACCUGUAUAAAAGAUAUAUAUAUAUCUAUCUCAUCAUAGUGUAACCCUAUACAGGUUACGAGUGUGCCCCUCCUAAAGGGAUGGUUAAUGGGGCCUAGAAAAUACAUGGUUCCGGGACUCGGUCCAACCUGUGGGCCCAAGGAGGUUGCCUAGGGUCACCUUAUGGUUCAGCCUGCUUUAGGAUUUAGCCAAGAGUGGCUUUGGUAAUGGAGCCUGAUUUAACUUGUCAGUCAUAAAGAAACAGAGAUUAAAGCUGUUUCCAGGUGGCAUUACCCAUUGAUACACCUUUACAAAAAUCUAAAUAGAUGAUUUGUCCUGUAAGUUGGAUACUAUGUGAUACUCCCGCUUUCAUGUCAGUCUUCUCUUGGAUAAGUUCUGAAAUACUCCUUUACUACCCGCUGUUGUGAUAGUUACUACACUUGUCAGAUUUUGGCACUCCGUAAUGACCCAUCCCAAUACUAUUAUCCAAUGUUUAGAUCUCUAUCUUUUUAGUACAGUAAUUCAAUGUUUCUUCUUAAGGUUGGUUCUAGAACUGUGGUUUAUAGCAAUGUACUUUGUUCUAUAUUUCUCCCACAUGGUAAUGGAUGUAGUACAGCCUUCCUACUUGCAUGUAUUUGAUGUUUUUAUGACUUAAAUAGUUUUCUUGAUACAUCAGUUUCUACCACUGUUAAAGAAAUCCUAAUGUUUCUGUUUAGACGAUGAGUUCCAGCUGCUACAGAGAGGUUUUAUGGACAAGUAUUAUAAUGAAUUUGAAGAUACAGAAGAAAACAAGCUGACGUACACACCUAUUUUUAAUGAAUAUGUAAGUGGGCUUUUUAUUCAUAUUUAUUUUUAUAUCUGUAACAAUUAAAGAGGCACUCCAUACACCAUGAGACUUCAGUGAGAUGAAGUUGUUAUGAUGUCUGGAAGUCGUGGGAUUAAACUCUGAGGGCAUGCUGUCCUCUAGGCCUCUCAGCUGACACUGGUAGGCUAUUACUGGCCACUCGUUCACAGAAAUGCUUUAGAAAGGUACUCAAUGGAAGUAGCACAGCUAAUUCCAGAUUUUAUCUCCUAUAAAUAUGGACAUUCACAUGUAGUGCCAAAAAAACAAACCCUUUUUCCUGGCACUAUAGGGUUAUUAGGUCCCCCCCUCCCUCAGGGCCCCCUUCGCGUUCUGUAAUACAGAGCUUACCUUAAUCCAGCUCCUGGCUUCCUCGGCGCUGGUGACCUCACCGCCUCUUGUCGGCGUCAUCUCCGAAUGUGCAUGCGCGGCAAGAGAAGCAAGCGCAUUCAAACCGCCCAUAGGAAAGCAUUACUCAAUGCUUUCCUAUGGACGUCAGCGUCAUCUCAGUGUGAUUUUCACACUGAGAAUCGCGGAAGCGCCGCUAGUGGCUGUCAGGGAGACAGCCACUAGAAGCUGGAUUAACCCUCAAUGAAAACAUAGCAGUUUCUCUGAAACUUCUAUGUUUACAGCUGCAGGGUUAAAACUAGGGGGACCUGGCACCCAGACCACUUCAUUGAGCUGAAGUUUUCUGGGUGCCUAGAGUGGUCCUUUUAAGGACCAGGGCUCUUGGAGAUGUGACGCCUUUGUGUGUGACUACAGCUUUUACCACAAUUUCACCCUUUCUAUUUAAGCACACUCAUACAUAUUAUAGAUCAUUUCCAUACAUAUUAUAGAUCAUUUUUUAAAGGAGAAAUAUAGCUUUUGUUUGAUACCCUAAAUAAAAAAUUCUCCCCACAGCUUACCUUUAGUAAUUUCUACAUAAUAAGCGCAACAUAGAUUCUCUAAUUAUUCCUGAUUGAAAUUCUAGACCUAUUGGGCAUUUUAACAAUCUAGACAUAUUGGCCAUUUUUAUAAGUUAAAAACAUUUUUUUUUUAUAAGUUAUAAAACAAAUAUUGAAAGGAGUGAAUUAAAUAUUAAAGCUAAAGCGUGCAAAAUUUAGCAUGCUGAGAUUACAACUUUUACAGCAGUCACAAAAUCCAAAACCACUACACAAAAAUAAUUGGGGCCACUAAGAUACAAGCUCCCUGUUUAUAAAGGAACACGAUAGGGUACCCUCUCCCCUACCCCCUUACAGUAAAAACUUUUUUUCGCUUUCAGAAUUGAUGAUCUUAGCCAGUCCAAUGCUUUCCCAGAGGAACAUUGCACUGGCUAAUCAGCAUCUCCUCAUAGAGAUGCAUUUAAUCAAUGCAUCUCUAAAGGGAAAGUUCAGCGUCUCCAUGAAAAGCGGGGAGACACUGAACGUCAUUCACACUAUGCAGCACUGCCCCAGGAAGCACCUCUUGUAGCCUUCUGAAUAUCUGCCACUAGAGAUGUCCCUAGGCAGCAAUGUAAACACUGCCUUUUCUCUGAAAAGACAUUGAUUACAAGAAAAUGCCUGCAUGCACAUACUAUACUCACCAGAACAACUCCUUAAAGCUGUAGUUGUUCUGGUGACUAUAGCGUCCCUUUAAGUUGUGAAGCCUCAGAAUUGGUAUUUAAAUGGAUUUGAAGGGCUUGCACGUAGCUCAUUUGUCAGUCUGGGGCCCCAGCUGACAGUCAGUGAUACCUGGGGCUCCUUGAUUUAGCAGCGAUUUAUCCUGCUAGUAAUUGAAUGCACAAUGAUCUUUGUGUUAAAGCUCUGCACUGCAUGACAGCAUACAUCUUCAUGUGGUUGUCAAUGGGUUAAAAAACAAAACAAAAGUUUUAUUUGCAUAAAUGAUGAUAAAUAAGAUGGACUUCAAGUCUUCAUAAGUUCUCUUCAAUACGUGAAAAUCUUCAUGACUUGACAAAAAUGGAAAUAAAAAAACAACCGCCCAAAUCUGUGAUUGUGAAUAUAUCAUUUGUAUCGCUGCUAUUGUACGUGGCUAGUGUUUCUACUGAGUGUGACCUCUUCUGCCUUAACUUUUUUUUUUUUUAAAUUUCCCCACAGCUUCUUUGUAUAAAGUGUACAGGAUACAUCUAUUAUUAUUGUUCCUUUUGCAGAGCUGCUUAUAUUUAUACAAUAAUACAAAGAGUUGGAUGUUUCACUUUUGUUUCUAUUCAUUUGUGAUGCUAACCAGUUUGUGUUUCUAGAUCUGUUUAGUGGAGAAGUUUAUCGAGGAACAGCUAUUGCUGCGGAUUCCAACAUUUAACAUGAAUGCAUUCACAGCAUCACUGCA
Molecule: long non-coding RNA, 11418 nt
Filed under: Pelobates cultripes (western spadefoot toad)
Lineage: Eukaryota; Metazoa; Chordata; Amphibia; Anura; Pelobatidae
Source: RNAcentral